CAGCUCCGCCCCGCGCCGGGCUCUAGCUGUUUCCCUCAGGCGGCCUGUUCCACGCCAGGAUUAGUUUUGCUUCGCAGAUGGGCCGUGGUGGUGAGAGGAAGCAAUCAGUAUGGAAAUGGAGAAAUGGCUUACCAUGCAUGUCCUUCUCCCCAGGAGGGAGGUCGUGGUGCAGGCGAGCAGACGCCAGACUCCUGGACACUUGCCGCCUGCGUUAUGGAGGCUUAGCUAAUAACCUUGCAGGGGUCUUCAGGCUUUUCCACUGGCUCACCUUUAGGCUUCUGACACUUUUACCUACGAUUGAAAAAAGACGAGAUUCCAUGAGACUAGAAAUGUAGGAGCAUCUCAGACCUUCACAGAACGCUCUGUUAGAAGAUGAGAAACAUAACGUUGCUUGUGAGAGGUGAAGCCAGCUGGACUUCCUGGGUCGAGUGGGGACUUGGAGAACUUUUCUGUCUAGCUAAAGGAUUAUAAGUGCACCAAUCAGCACUCUGUAAAAACACACCAGUCAGCGCUCUGUGUCUAGCUAAAGGAUUGUAAAUGCACCAAUCAGCACUCUGUAAAAUGGACCAAUCAGUACCCUGUAAAAUGGACCAAUCAGCAGGACGUGGGCAGGGACAAAUAAGGGAAUAACAGCUGGCGCCCCUAGCCAGCAGUGGCAACCCACUCGGAUCACCUUCCAUGCUGUGGAAGCUUUGUUAUUUCACUUUUCACAAUAAAUCUUAGGGUUGCUUACUUUUUGGGUCCAUGCCACCUUGAAGAGCUGUAACACUCACCACGAAGGUCUGAGGCUUCAUUCUUGAAGUCAGACUAAGAACCCACCGGAAGGAACCAAUUCCAGACACACGUGUAGUAGCAAAUUAUCAAAAAUGUUCAUUGCCUUUUCUGAAAAACAAUUUUCCCAGAAACACCUGGCAGAAUCAGAGUUCAUUGUGUCAAAAGAAAAACUUUGGACAAAUUAAAAUGAGCAAAGAACAAUUUGUGAAAUGUGCCCCUCUCCCAACCAGAACAGGUUCAAAGAGACUCCAGUGCUGCCACAUGAUCAAAGAAUUAUGGACAAAAAAAGCAAAUAAAUUACAGGAAAAGAAAAUGAGAUAAUGCAGUAGUUACUUUUUGAAGGACGACCGAAGCAGGAUAUUUCCCUGACCCCUUCAUGGGACCCACGUCAGAGGUGUUUACUCAGCCUGCUGCCCACAACUCCUCACAGGAGGGAGCGCACAAGUGAACGAGGGUGAGGACUGGAGAGCACCAGCACUGGAACAACCCGGCCACUUCGGCGCUACUGGGAUCAAACUCCAUCACUUGGACACACUGUGUUCCACCCCUCGUGGGAGGGAGCAUGCAGGUGAGAGGAUGCAGGAGUCAGGGUGAGCACUUUUGGGCUCCAGCAGGAGCAAACUCUGUGCAGGGCCCUGCAGCAGUGACUGAGGGGCGGCCUGUGACUCCCAAAGCCCCAGAGGACAUGCUACAGUGCUCUUUUAGCUCUACCAUCCGUAGGUGGCUUAAGUGUAAACAGCUCAGUGGGCCCUUUGCCUUUUUGCGUGAGGCAGCUGCCCUAGGCAAGAGUAAAGGGCCAGUGUCACAGCCUUCUGUAUCUGCACUCAUGACUCCUGAGCUCUUGUCCUGCAUUCAGGGAAAAUGAGGUUACACAAAAGAAUUCACAGAUGGUAAAUGCGGGGUAUUUUAUUCCCAGUGAAAGUGGCUCUCAGCAGGAAGGAGAGCAGAAAAGGGGAUGGGCUGGGUAGGUAACCUUCCCCUGAAGUCCUGCCAUCUCUGGCUGGAUUUUUCUCCAAAGUUACACCAUCAAAAUGUCCCUCUGAAAUCAAGCCACUUCUCUCUGACAUCCAGCCGUAGUCCCUCACGUCCAGUUGCUUCUCCUCUCUGCUGGCUGAGUCUGUGGUCUUUAUAGCACAGGAUGGCGGGCAGGGUGGGCCAUGGGUAAUUUAGGAAAAAGCAACAUUUGAGCAGACAAAAGGGAGAGAAGUUCUCUACUUUGGGCUGCGGUUUCAGGCUUUUUGGCUUGAGGGUGGGGUUUUGUCAGGGACCCUCCCUUUUCUGCCUAAAAUUUCUCUGCCUCCUGCCUCUAUCACUGUAUCACUAGUUUGAAGUAAACCCAUCUGGAAUUACUGAUUUUAACAAAUCACACAGAAUUUCAAGCACCUUUCUAUGCAAAUGACUUGUGAAGACAUAGAGUAUAGUAUGCCGUUAACAAACAGCCCAGCAGUGUGCCUUGCACCUUGUAGGUGUACAAAAUAUUAAGUCAAUUUUAUAAUUGAAGGAGGUAAUUUUAAAAUGCUACAUCCAUGUUGUGUAAUUUUAUUCAUUGGUCAUUUUAAAUAAAAACAAAAGCCAGAAUAAACCAUAUAUAUUGUACUUGUUAGUUUAUUCAAGGAAAUUUAGGUCAAAAGAAGCACACCUCCUUGUGGUUAGUUAUUCCAACUGCAAAUCAUUCACCUUAAAAUGAAAGAACAUGGCUAUAGGAGCUUUUUGCAAAUAUGUUCUUCACUGAUGAUUUUCUAAAAUGUAUAUAUCAAAUCCCCCAG
Molecule: long non-coding RNA, 2540 nt
Filed under: Homo sapiens (human)
Lineage: Eukaryota; Metazoa; Chordata; Mammalia; Primates; Hominidae
Description: HSALNT0087722
Source: RNAcentral